Molecule: ribosomal RNA, 465 nt
Filed under: uncultured bacterium
Lineage: Bacteria
Description: partial 16S ribosomal RNA
Rfam family: Bacterial small subunit ribosomal RNA
Source: RNAcentral
GACGAACGCUGGCGGCGUGCUUAACACAUGCAAGUCGAACGGAAAGGCCCCUUUGGGGGUACUCGAGUGGCGAACGGGUGAGUAACACGUGAGUAACCUGCCCUUGACUUCGGGAUAACUUCAGGAAACUGGGGCUAAUACCGGAUAGGAAUCCUUGCUGCAUGGUGGGGGUUGGAAAGCUUCGGCGGUUUUGGAUGGACUCGCGGCUUAUCAGCUUGUUGGUGGGGUAGUGGCUUACCAAGGCUUUGACGGGUAGCCGGCCUGAGAGGGCGACCGGCCACAUUGGGACUGAGAUACGGCCCAGACGCCUACGGGAGGCAGCAGUGGGGAAUAUUGCACAAUGGGCGGAAGCCUGAUGCAGCAACGCCGCGGGCGGGAGGACGGCCUUCGGGUUGUAAACCGCGUUCAGCAGGGGCGAAGCUUGUGGUGACGGUACCUGCAGAAGAAGCACCGGCUAACUACGUG